GCGCCUAUAGCUCAGGUGGAUAGAGCAGCAGCCUUCUAAGCUGCAGGUCGCUGGUUCGAGUCCAGCUAGGCGCACCA
This 77-nucleotide transfer RNA is filed under the name Geothrix sp. RNAcentral describes it as "tRNA-Arg". It matches the Rfam family "tRNA". Rfam says of the family: Transfer RNA (tRNA) molecules are approximately 80 nucleotides in length. Their secondary structure includes four short double-helical elements and three loops (D, anti-codon, and T loops). Further hydrogen bonds mediate the characteristic L-shaped molecular structure. tRNAs have two regions of fundamental functional importance: the anti-codon, which is responsible for specific mRNA codon recognition, and the 3' end, to which the tRNAs corresponding amino acid is attached (by aminoacyl-tRNA synthetases). tRNAs cope with the degeneracy of the genetic code in two manners: having more than one tRNA (with a specific anti-codon) for a particular amino acid; and 'wobble' base-pairing, i.e. permitting non-standard base-pairing at the 3rd anti-codon position. The record is from RNAcentral. Lineage: Bacteria; Pseudomonadati; Acidobacteriota; Holophagae; Holophagales; Holophagaceae.